RNAcentral lists this long non-coding RNA (833 nucleotides) under Oryctolagus cuniculus (rabbit). RNAcentral's name for it is "lncRNA (ENSOCUG00000031814.1)". Lineage: Eukaryota; Metazoa; Chordata; Mammalia; Lagomorpha; Leporidae. The record is from RNAcentral.
GCCCAGAUUUAAUUCUUAGCUCCUGGCUCUGGCUCUGACGUGGCUUGAGUUGUUGAGAGCAUUUUGGUGUGAACCAGUGGAUAGGAACUCUAUCUGCCUUUCUUUCUUUGUUUCUCUGCCUCUCAAAUAAAUCAAUGAAAUUUUUUAAAAAUAAAAAAAUGAACAUUAUUAGGCUCUUGUGAGCAUAAUGUGAGAUUAGUAUAUAUAAACUUUCACUGAGGUCAUUGACUGUGUAUAAUACAUUGUUCCUCAGAGGUCAGGUACAGUACAUUCAUAGAAAAAGCAUUAACAAAGUCUAACUAUUAUUCAGAAGGACCUCUUCUGUUUUCAUUUUCAACCUAGGCCAAUUGGUACAUUGAGAACAACUGAACUGUUCAGUUUUUCCCAUAGUCUGGGACAAAUCAAAACAAAAAUACAUGAGAAUUAAUUUAUUUCCUCAUUAUUUUUCUUUCCAUCAAUCACUCCUCCCCUUGGUGUGUCCUCUUCCAGCUCCUUCAUUUUUUUCCUGUUCGUGCGGUGAAGUCCAUGGUGAUGUCAUUUCCCUUCAAACUUUCCCUCCUUUCUACCUAUCAAAACAGAAGAUUUCUAUUUUAUUGAAACAGAGGCUAUGUCGAAGACAAUCUUCAAAUCUUUAAUCUAUCUGUGGAAGGAAGAACAAUAACGUCCACAUCCUAAUCCUUAGAAACUGUAAGUAUGUGACAUUUUAUACUGGGAACAUUAAAAUUGCACAUGGAAAGACAGUUGCAAAUUAAUGGGCAUUUAGUUUAAGACACUGGUUAAAAUACUUAUGUCUCCAUUGGAGUACUUGCAUCCAAUGUCUGGCUGUGGCUCCU